AUUGAACGCUGGCGGCAGGCCUAACACAUGCAAGUCGAGCGGUUGAAGGGAUCUUGCUCCUGGAUUCAGCGUCGGACGGGUGUGUAAUGCCUAGGAAUCUGCCUGGUUGUGGGGGAUAACGUCCGGAAACGGGCGCUUAUACCGCAUACGUCCUGAGUGAGAAAGUGGGGGAUCUUCGGACCUCUCGCUAUCAGAUGUGCCUAGGUCGGAUUAGAUAGUUGGUGGGGUAAAGGCCUACCAAGGCGACGAUCCGUCACUGGUCUGAGAGGAUGAUCAGUCAAACUGGAACUGAGACACGGUCCAGACGCCUACGGGAGGCAGCAGUGGGGAAUAUUGGACAAUGGGCGAAAGCCUGAUCCAGCCAUGCCGCGUGUGUGAAGAAGGUCUUCGGAUUGUAAAGCACUUUAAGUUGGGAGGAAGGGCAGUAAGUUAAUACCUGGCUGUAAUGACGUUACCAAAAGAAUAAGCACCGGCUAACUACGUG
Molecule: ribosomal RNA, 484 nt
Filed under: uncultured bacterium
Lineage: Bacteria
Description: partial 16S ribosomal RNA
Rfam family: Bacterial small subunit ribosomal RNA
Source: RNAcentral